GCUGGGGAAGGGGAAGCAGGAGGGGUGAGGAAAACGUGCCCAGGGGACUGAGGAAAUGAGGAUGAAGCGCCCUCCCAGGACAUCUUACCUACCAGAGGCUGCCGAUUUCUGAUACCCGGCAAUUUGCACGCUCCCGGGAAGCAUGUGCUUGUGAAAUGUUUCGUGAACGAAGGAAAGAGGUGUAGCUGCCCAGAUUCCUGCUGCGGCCCCAGGGAACCUUGCGGUGUUUCCCAAUCCCGCCAGAAGUGGAGUAAAGUUGUGUUUGA
Molecule: non-coding RNA, 266 nt
Organism: Heterocephalus glaber (naked mole-rat)
Lineage: Eukaryota; Metazoa; Chordata; Mammalia; Rodentia; Bathyergidae
Source: RefSeq, a predicted model, not a curated record